RNAcentral lists this long non-coding RNA (5310 nucleotides) under Aquilegia coerulea. RNAcentral describes it as "long non-coding RNA (ACOE_LNC000219)". Lineage: Eukaryota; Viridiplantae; Streptophyta; Magnoliopsida; Ranunculales; Ranunculaceae. The record is from RNAcentral.
UGCAUUUGGUGUUAGCAUGAACCAGUUUAUCGGAAGGUGCAAGGGUUUUAUUCUUGCAGUACAUUAUUGUAAUUGACAAGUACACCAGGUUGUUGUGUCUUAUCUUCUCCUUGAGGGCUUUUCCCACUGAUGGUUUAUAGUUUUUACCAGCCAAACAGUUUAUAUAGUAUAUUAUUGUAUUUGGAAAAUAUAAAUGAUUUAGAACUUUUGAGAAUGUUGCAACUUUCCAAGUUAAUUUGUUCCAACACCUGUGUAAAUUCACAUUUUACAGCAUUGGUAGCUUAUAAUAAUUUUUUUGUUUUCCUGUUUUUGUUUUCUUCUUCUUUUUUUUUAGUUGGCCUGGAAAGUGACUUAUUAAUUUUUGUUAAUAACUUUCUUGCUUUGCGAUCAGCCUCUAUGUUUAUUAAAUUGUUGGGUGACACUAACUUGAUUUGUCCUAUUGAACCAGAGCGGAAAUGCUUGAACUUGAGCAUCCCAUGGGUGAUUCUGGGCUAUUCUGAGAGAAGGCUUCUGCUACAUGAAUGAAACGAGGCAUUCCAUUUUGCUCUUGAUGCAUCUGUGAUCACCAAGUCUACUUCAAAUGUACUUCAGAAAAUCUUCGUAUUCAAUCUGAGUUGAAGUAUUCCUUUUAUAAAUUGUUUUUUUAGUAUUCUUGUUGCAACACAUAUUCUGUGUGCCCCUUUUUUUAAUUGGCAUUCUGUAUGCCCUUGCUCAAGGCUUGAAGAUGAUUUCUUAUGUUGGUGAGGAUCUUGAGCAGAGAGACUCAAAAUGUACAAUGGUUGCUGUUUGCUGCACAGACUAAAACAAUCACAGGUUAUUCCUCUCUUUUAUGUAGCAAUUUAUUUAUUUGUGGGAUAUUAUCAUCCCUGUUAAGUAAUGUUUCCAUCCAGUUAGAAGAAUCUUGCUGGAUCUGCCUUAUUCCAUUUUCUCUUUUUAAGUGUUGUUCACCUCAUAUAAGUUCUUCUUCCAGUCAUCAUUGGCAUACUCUUUUUUUGGCCCUUUUGAACUUACAGAUGUUAUCAAGUAUUGAGGUCAGGAUUUUGGAUUUUAGAACUUGGUUUCACUGUACCAUUAGGUUUUUUAGGCUUAUUUUUUAUACUUUUGUUGCAUUUGUGGUUCUUUCAUUUGGAUAUUGAAUGGUUGUUGUUAAUGCAUGAUGUGUAGCUGAAUAUGCUUUGCUCAUUGGAACUCCAUUAUCUUUCCAAAACAAAUAUUCAUUUCUUUUCCCCAUUUUAAGUGAUCAUUCAAACUUGAUUAGUACAUUUAGUUGUAUAUUUGAGGUAGCUCUCAGCGAUUGACAAGCAUAACUUGAAGUUGUUAAUGGCUAUACUAGGUACAUAUUACAAAAUAAAAUGUACACAUCAAUACAAGCCGAAAAGAAAAUGGAAGAACUCAGUGAAUAGAAGAAGAAAAGAAUAAUUGGGCAAAAAUUUUAAUACAUGUUAAUGGUUAUAAUUAAUAUACAUUUUAAUGCACACACAAAGAGAAUGGGAAUUAACAGUCCUUGUGAACGAUGAGUUAAAAACCUCCUGCACCACUUGCAGAAAUAGCAAAUAAGAAUUGCCAAAAUUCUGCAUAUAGUUAAAAGUGUAUAGUAUACUAAUACUGUUGAGGUCACACCGUGAUGUGUCAUUUGUAUUAUAGUUUUAUUCUGUGAUGACUUCUGUAAGAGUAUUCCUUGCACCUCCAUUAAGAUUUUCCAUCACCUCCUGAAAAUGCUACACUGCAGUUCCUUAUCACAAAAUGUAGUAUAAUAUAUUGGAAGCCUCAAAAGACCAACUUUGUUACUAACUACUAUGCCUUUGAUUUUCUGAUAUUUCUGAAUUGAUAGGGAUGCACCCUUUGGUUUCCUUCCAACAGAAGAUUUCACUUUUCAUAUUUUUGGAAAACUAUUCAGCUAUUUUGACUGCUUGUUUAGAUUUCUUCUAAAACCCUCAAGCUCUUCAUGAUCUCCUAUUACUGUUUUCAUGUGGAUUUUAAGGAUGCACAGUUCACACUGUUAUUUAUAAUCAUUGAAAUGCCAGCAUUAUACCUUUAACCUAAUAAUCAUAAUGACAUGAAAAUCUUUGUGAUCUUAUGUUUGUUGUUCGUGCAUUGGACUGCAGUGGAGUAUCUUAUAGUUAUAUUUUACAUGUGGUGUAUUUAUGUUAAAAGUGCGACUAGGGAUAUGAGCCAAGACCUAGCAGCUAAAAGUUUAGGACUGAACUUUUCGUUUCUUGCAGAGCGACUGUCAAAUUUGGCUUAUGUUGUUCUGACUUCUGACCUAUGAACUUUUUUGGGCCAUCGAAACUGGAGCGGUCGCUCAGAGCCUCAGACUCAGGAUGUAAGUUCUGGUUUCAUAUAUAAAACAUUGUGUGUGUUUAUGCUUCUACAAUUGGUAGAGUAUUAAACAAAACUGGGACAUCUUGUUUCGCAUGUGGACAUUAAAGAUUGGCGAGUAUGACAAGUGGAAUUACAUAUGCUAUAUAGGGUCUCUUAUAGAUAUAUGUUCAAAAUUGAUUUCUUUUCACACUCUUAUGAAAUCACAAAGAAAAUGUAAUGAUGUGGUUGCCUAUUGAAGAGGAGAGUUUGUGUACAGUUGAAUUUUGAUUCACAGUUUCUGCUGCCUUUUGGCCGCAUUUCCAACCAAUAUCAUCUUUUGGGUGAAAAUUUGAGUAGAUAUCCAACUUGUUAUGGUUGGUUGCCUAUUAAACAACAUCCAAACUUAUUUAGGGACAUAAUUUUUGUAAUCAUUAGGUGACCUUGCCAUAUUUUUUUUAUUUUGUUUAUUUAUAGGUUUGUGAGAGAAGAUAAACAUUUUGAACGUAUAUUUAUAGGACAUAUAUCUCAAACCGUCUAAGGACCCUAUAGAUUACCAAUAUAAGUCGAAAAAAACUAAAAGUUGAGCAUUAUGCAAUUUCACCAGUUAUAGUCGUCAAUUUUCUUUAUGUUCACAAGAAAGCAAGAUAACCCAAAUGGACCGUGUUGCUCAACCCCACAGUCAAAAUACUUCACUGAUUGAAUUUACAAAAGCUUACAAUGCUAUUUUGAUCCCCCCACCCCACCCAUGUGGUAAUUUUGUAUCUCUAUGAGUGGCUCGAAUUAAAUAAGAAGAGUAAAUUGGAAGCUUGUAAAUAUGUCUUCCUGUAAAAUGGGUGAAAUUGGAAGUACACUGGGCCNNNNNNNNNNNNNNNNNNNNNNNNNNNNNNNNNNNNNNNNNNNNNNNNNNNNNNNNNNNNNNNNNNNNNNNNNNNNNNNNNNNNNNNNNNNNNNNNNNNNACCAACAUCUGUGUAUCGCCGUAUCGCUCUUCAUAUUUUACAGGUAUUGGAGUGCCAGCUUUAGUCUAGUGAGCAUAAAAACGUCUAGUGGAAUGAGACCAAGCUCAAAACAGGAUAAUGAAAAACGUGGGUGUUGUCCCCCCACCAUCUUUCCUCGACUUUAUCGGUAAGUUUUCUUUGUCAUGUCUCUUAUUUAUAUUUCUUUUGCAAAAGUUUUCCAGUUUUAAUUAUACUGUGCGUUAUGAUAACCAUAACUUAAGGAACAAUAGGAUUCCAAGUUUUCUUGAAAUCCAAAAUAGAUAUACAAAACAAAUUUAGAAUAAUGACUAUUGUACGAAAUGUCUAAUAUAUGAGAUAGGGUUAGAGUGGAGAUUUUCUACAAGAAAAAUACAAAUUUUAGCACAUCUUAGUUGUUCCACACACAUACACACGUGAGAAUUCCACGUGAGAAUUCAAGCCUUUGAUAAGCCAUGUACGAGAAACUCUUAAAUGAUGGAGCCUGUAGACCCCUACUGGUUCUUUUGAGAGGGUACUCUACAAAGUUGGCCUUUAGCUAAGUAGACUCUCCUAACUCAAAAACUUCAGAUGCUCAUUUAUGCUCAGGCCAUGUCUAUAGAACCUUUUUCACACGGUUACUUUUAUGAAUUCCAUUAUGUAAACUCGAUCAAUGUCUCAAAUGGUCCAAGGAGAAGAGACUGCUCUACAAAACUUAAUUCUUUGACUGUGAGAAUGGAUUCUGUCUACAUUUUUUUUUUUUUUGGUAAAGCAUUCUGUCUACAUAUGAGCCCAUGCACAUAUGUGUUUUUGACCACAUUGAGAUUGUCGCUUUCACCCAAAAUCAAUUAUUUGUCAUUAAGAUGUAGGUUUUUAAAGGUCAACUGAUUCGGCUGCAUAAUUGAAUUGUUUGAACUGAACUAGCUUAUAUGUUGACUGUAGAAGUUCAGUUUUGUCACACAAUUCUCUGGCAAACUAUAUACUGAUAUCAUUCACAGUUAUUUUUCUACCACUUUGGGCAGGGAAUAGUGUAUGUAUAGUGUAAAUUCAUUAUGUAAUAAUAAUGAAUAGAUUAAACUAGCUAGACAUGCACUUAGAUGCAGAAAAAAUAAGUUAACAUAAAAAACAAGGGACAUGUAAUUUAAUCAAGGCACUAUUAGAAAACUAAACGGGUGUUUAUCUCUAAACUAAUUAUAUAUGUUUAACAUGACAGUCCUUUCUAUAUAACAUCACUGUAGUAUAGUCUAUAUACUCUAUACUGUACAAUAUGUAUAUGAAAUUAUGAAUACAGGCAGGAGUAGAAUUUUUGUUGAUCCAUGAAGCAUAAAGUCAAGAUUUGGACAGAGUAACAGCAAUCAAUGUGAACGGCCUUUUGGGUACAAUGUGGUUGACUUUGAAUACUAUGGAAACUAAUCAUCUAGAAGAAGCAAAUGUCUUAUUCAUUGUAAAGUCUACUUGCAGGUUGACAGUCUGUUUUAUGGACAUGUUGCUUGCCAAUUUGCCUUACUUUGCCAUGUGAUAAGAGAUAAGUCUCGUGGCCAAGGUAUUUAAAAUUCAUACAAUUUAUUUAUUUGCAACAACAACCAGUAUGGCAUUCAUAAAAAAACAACCAGUGUGGCAUCUUCCCCUGCUUUUGCAUGUGAAAUUGUUGUUGGCGCAGGCCACUGCAGAGAUCUACACAGAUUAUUCAGACUAUGGUGUUUGCAGUUUGCUUGAUUGAAGUAUCUUAAGAGAUAAUUUAUUUGCUUAUUUAUGUUGAUGAUUUGAUAUAAUGAUGAGGGUAGAGAAUCGAGAUUAUAGAAAUGGCAACCCAUUUUGUUCACAAGGAAACAAGAUUAGCCAUCAUUAUGAUUCUUGUAAUAAACAAGCAAUCCAAAAUAAGAUGAUUAUUACAGAAUUAGUAUCUUACUAUGGUUGUUCUCUUUAUUUUAUUUUUGCCAGGUUGUAUAUGCAUGGUUUGCAUGUCGUUUUCCCCCCUUACAUAUACUAUAUAAAGCCUUGAAGGCUAAAUUAAUUUGUUAUUAUUUGAGCACGUUCGCUUGAGCUUAUUAAUAUUGA